GAUUUGUUAGAGUUUUAUCGGAGUCAGCAGGAUCUUCAUUGGCCCAGAUCGCCUCCCGUCCACCCGAGAGGAGUUGGUGAGGACACCAGGUUCAGGCCGCCACAGACACAUUUCUAAAGACACCGGAAGAAGCUUGUCCAGCCACUCAGCCUAUGGUUGGGAGAUUGACGGAUGCCUAUGGUGAUAUAGCCACUCGACAGGGUCGAGUUUUCUCUCCCACCCCGGGAGAAUUGAUGAGGACAUCCAGUUUUAAUUAUUUUAGCAGUUUUAAUUAUUUUAGUUGGAUUUAGGUUAUUUUAAUUUUAU
RNAcentral lists this long non-coding RNA (306 nucleotides) under Olea europaea (common olive). RNAcentral describes it as "long non-coding RNA (OEUR_LNC002285)". The record is from RNAcentral. Lineage: Eukaryota; Viridiplantae; Streptophyta; Magnoliopsida; Lamiales; Oleaceae.